This 440-nucleotide ribosomal RNA is filed under the name uncultured bacterium. Its description in RNAcentral is "partial 16S ribosomal RNA". It matches the Rfam family "Bacterial small subunit ribosomal RNA", at positions 338 to 795 of the family's 1533-position model. The record is from RNAcentral.
CCUACGGGUGGCAGCAGUGGGGGAUAUUGCACAAUGGGGGAAACCCUGAUGCAGCAACGCCGCGUGAGGGAAGAAGGUUUUCGGAGUGUAAACCACUAUUCUUGGUGAAGAUAAUGACGGUAACUGAGGAGAAAGCUCCGGCUAACUACGUGCCAGCAGCCGCGGUAAUACGUAGGGAGCAAGCGUUGUACGGAUUUACUGGGGGUAAAGGGUGCGUAGGCGGUCUUGGAAGUCAGGCGUGAAAACCACGGGCUCAACCUGGGGAAUGCGUUUGAAACUGUGGGGCUGGAGUGCAGUAGAGGUAGGCGGAAUUCCUGGUGUAGCGGUGAAAUGCGUAGAGAUCGGGAGGAACACCAGUGGCGAAGGCGGCCUACUGGGCUUUAACUGACGCUGAGGCACGAAAGCAUGGGUAGCAAACAGGAUUAGAUACCCGGGUAGUC